AGUGAACGCUGGCGGUAGGCCUAACACAUGCAAGUCGAACGGCAGCACAGGAGAGCUUGCUCUCUAGGUGGCGAGUGGCGGACGGGUGAGGAAUACAUCGGAAUCUGCCCAGUCGUGGGGGAUAACGUAGGGAAACUUACGCUAAUACCGCAUACGACCUUCGGGUGAAAGAGGGGGAUCGCAAGACCUCUCGCGAUUGGAUGAGCCGAUGUCGGAUUAGCUAGUUAGCGGGGUAAUGGCCCACCAAGGCGACGAUCCGUAGCUGGUCUGAGAGGAUGAUCAGCCACACUGGAACUGAGACACGGUCCAGACUCCUACGGGAGGCAGCAGUGGGGAAUAUUGGACAAUGGGCGAAAGCCUGAUCCAGCCAUACCGCGUGGGUGAAGAAGGCCUUCGGGUUGUAAAGCCCUUUUGUUGGGAAAGAAAUCUUUCAGGCUAAUACCCUGGGAGGAUGACGGUACCCAAAGAAUAAGCACCGGCUAACUUCGUG
RNAcentral lists this ribosomal RNA (490 nucleotides) under uncultured bacterium. RNAcentral describes it as "partial 16S ribosomal RNA". It matches the Rfam family "Bacterial small subunit ribosomal RNA", at positions 29 to 507 of the family's 1533-position model. The record is from RNAcentral.